This is an RNA transcript of Bombyx mori (domestic silkworm), 2574 nucleotides long. It is a transcript of the gene named sialin, with no coding region annotated. NCBI's taxonomy places the organism in Eukaryota, Metazoa, Arthropoda, Insecta, Lepidoptera, Bombycidae. The record is from RefSeq and is a predicted model, not a curated record. The transcript is spliced from 8 exons.
CUUGUAUAUUUUUUGGAAAGUGUCCAUUGAAAUAUGGUUCAAUAAAUGUGUCAACUUCAGUGCUUAUACCUGAUUUGCCAGCAAAGAUUUAGAUUUGGUUUUUGCGUAUUUGGUAGUAAAGCAGGUCAAUCUGCAAAAUUAUAUGUGAUCCCAGCGAGGCUCAAUCUGUGGGUGAUGUUAUUCACGAGUUGCUGGGUGGCGUACAUGUUGCGUGUGAACAUAAGCCUCAAUCUAAUUGCCAUGGUGCCUCAAACGUCACACAAUUCUUCUUCGACAUCACAAUGCGGAGCUAAAGACGACGUGGUCAGGAACACUAGUUUGCAGCACGUAGACAUAGCUGAUGUUAGAGAGGUGCCCAGACAGGUUCCAGGAGGUGCAUCUUUUGAUUGGACCGCUGAUCAACAAGCACUUAUCCUUGGCUCAUACUUUUGGUGCUACCCGCUGACAUCUUUGGCUGGAGGAAUGGCUGCUGAGCGAUGGGGUCCUCGAUUAGUAGUCUUCGUGACUUCACUAGCAAGCGCAGUGCUAACUGCAUUGAGUCCUGUGGCUUCAUCCUGGAAUUAUCUGGCACUAGUUGUUAUUAGGUUCUUCCUGGGAUUUGCUUCAGGAUUCAUAUAUCCAGCCCUUCAUGUGUUGGUAGCCCGGUGGGCUCCACCUGCGGAAAAAGGGAAGUUUGUUAGUGCCACGAUGGGCGGUACAUUAGGGACAGUUGUUACUUGGUCUUUGACUGGACCUCUCAUAGAAAAGUUCGGCUGGGAGUCAGCGUUUUAUGUGCCAGCCGCAUUAACAUUUGUUUGGUGCUUUUUCUGGUGGUACUUAGUUGCCGAUACACCCUCAGAGCAUCCAAGGAUAUCGGUAAAAGAGAAGAAUUAUAUUUUAGAUGCUCUAGGAGACAAGGUUAAAAAGUCAAAGGGCCUGCCGCCUUUUAAGAGCAUUGUCAAGUCAUUUCCCUUUCUGGCUAUGAUAGUUUUGCAUUAUGGAAACCUAUGGGGAUUGUACUUUAUAAUGACUGUUGGUCCAAAAUUUGUGGCAAGCGUUUUAGGAUUUGAAUUAUCAGCCGCGGGCGUAAUAUCCGCUUUACCAUAUCUCGCUAGGCUGGUGAUGGCAACAAUUUUUGGCUUUAUUGGAGAUUUUAUAUUAGCACGAAAAUUAAUGACAACGACGGUUAUUCGAAAAUUCUUCUGUCUUUUUUCACAUAUUUUGCCUGGAUUAUUGUUGCUCUGCUUGAUUUAUGCCGGAUGUUCAACAACCCUAUCAGUGGCUUUAAUAACUAUGUCAAUGGGCUUCAACGGAGCUGCUACGUUAACAAAUUUACAAAAUCACCAAGACUUAGCUCCAAGUUAUGCUGGAACUUUAUAUGGAAUUGCUAAUUGUAUCGGUAGCACGGCUGGGUUUUUUACACCUAUGAUAACUGCAUAUUUCACAAGGAACGGAAACGGCUUCGAACAAUGGAGACCAGUCUUUUAUAUAGGGGCGUCAGUAUAUGUUGUUUCUGCCGUAUUUUUUAUCUUCUUCGGCACCGGUAACAUUCAAGAUUGGAAUUUUGCGGAAAAUACAAAGGAAAAUAAAGACGAUAAAAACAACGACUUAAAAGAAAUGAACGGGAUAACGACACGAACCGGUGAUGCCAAAGAUGCGAAAGAUACUCCUUUAAGCGUAAUCUCAUAAGGUGUGAGUUUUGUAACAAUGUAAUAGCAUCACUAGAUACAGUAUCGUAACUCUUCAAGGGCUAAGCAUGUAUAUUUGCGAUGUCGUAAAUAGUGGAUGAUGUAGAAAUGUUUAGACGGUAAGUUAAAUAAAUAUGAAAAUAUCCAUCCGUCCAUAGCAUGGUGGUAAGUUUGAAAUUACUGGUAUUAAUUAAUGACAUUAUUUCGUAUCGUGUGGUUUAUUAUUUAAUAUAAUAAAUUAGGUGUACUAAUGAAAUAUUCGGCUAGUAAAUUUUAAUUUAAACAUAAUAAAAAUGUUAGGCGCGUACCUUAUUACUGUUAUCUGUGAUUUGUUAGUGAUAAAAUGGAAACCCUCUUGGAAGAGACAGGGAUACAACAUUCAUUGUUUAUUUUUGACCAUUUGUUUUAGUAUAAGUAAAUUUGCAUUUGUUUAUUAAGAUUUUGUAUGUUAUUUUUGUUUUUAAAGGUGCCUUUUAAAAUUUGCAUUGAAAGCUUAGAAAUUACAUUAAUUGGCUAAUAUCAUCAAAUUUGUGUGCGUUUGAAUUAACGUAUGAUUGUCAUCGUCAUCAGCCCACAAUCAUACACUGUUAGAUCUCUACCAAUCCACAUCAUUGAGCCCGGUCGCUAAUAAUUAAUUGCUAACGUAUAAUUGCACCUAAAGCAUCUCAAUAAUUUUAACGUAUAACUAUGUAAAUUUCUUUAAGUAUUUAAAUCAAAAUGACUUCACCAGUGGCUUCCUUGAAGGAGAAGACAUUCCUUCUCAAAUUAUAAAUAGAUAAUAUUGACUAUGUGGUUUAUUAUAAUAUGAUUUAUCGUUUAGAAAUAAUUUAUGUGUCUAGAUUACCAUUUAAUUUUAUUGAUUUCAUUGUAUGUGAAGUGCUGAUCGUUAAAUAAAUCUUUAAAUAUA